UGCAUUCACUACUGUAAGUCGCUCUGGAUAAGAGCGUCUGCUAAACGCCUAAAA
Non-coding RNA from Salmo salar (Atlantic salmon), 54 nucleotides. The record is from Rfam. NCBI's taxonomy places the organism in Eukaryota, Metazoa, Chordata, Actinopteri, Salmoniformes, Salmonidae.